GCAGUCGAGCGGUAGAGAGGUGCUUGCACCUCUUGAGAGCGGCGGACGGGUGAGUAAAGCCUAGGAAUCUGCCUGGUAGUGGGGGAUAACGCUCGGAAACGGACGCUAAUACCGCAUACGUCCUACGGGAGAAAGCAGGGGACCUUCGGGCCUUGCGCUAUCAGAUGAGCCUAGGUCGGAUUAGCUAGUUGGUGAGGUAAUGGCUCACCAAGGCGACGAUCCGUAACUGGUCUGAGAGGAUGAUCAGUCACACUGGAACUGAGACACGGUCCAGACUCCUACGGGAGGCAGCAGUGGGGAAUAUUGGACAAUGGGCGAAAGCCUGAUCCAGCCAUGCCGCGUGUGUGAAGAAGGUCUUCGGAUUGUAAAGCACUUUAAGUUGGGAGGAAGGGCAUUAACCUAAUACGUUAGUGUUUUGACGUUACCGACAGAAUAAGCACCGGCUAACUCUGUGCCAGCAGCCGCGGUAAUACAGAGGGUGCAAGCGUUAAUCGGAAUUACUGGGCGUAAAGCGCGCGUAGGUGGUUCGUUAAGUUGGAUGUGAAAUCCCCGGGCUCAACCUGGGAACUGCAUUCAAAACUGUCGAGCUAGAGUAUGGUAGAGGGUGGUGGAAUUUCCUGUGUAGCGGUGAAAUGCGUAGAUAUA
Molecule: ribosomal RNA, 645 nt
Filed under: uncultured bacterium
Lineage: Bacteria
Description: bacterial SSU rRNA
Rfam family: Bacterial small subunit ribosomal RNA
Source: RNAcentral